This 407-nucleotide ribosomal RNA is filed under the name uncultured bacterium. RNAcentral's name for it is "partial 16S ribosomal RNA". It matches the Rfam family "Bacterial small subunit ribosomal RNA", at positions 28 to 526 of the family's 1533-position model. The record is from RNAcentral.
GACGAACGCUGGCGGCGGGCCUCAUACAUGCAAGUAGAACGCAGUUGCGAACGGGUGCGUAACGCGUAGGUAACUGACUGGUAGCGGGGGAUAACUAUUGGAAACGAUAGCUAAUAACGCAUACUACCAGAUGGACCUGCGUUGUAUUAGCUAGUUGGUGAGGGAACGGGUCACCAAGGCAACGCAACAUAGCCGACCUGAGACGGUGAUCGGCCCAACUUGUACUGAGACACGGCCCAGACUCCUACGGGAGGCAGCAGUAGGGAAUCUUCGGCAAUGGGGGGAACCCUGACCGAGCAACGCCGCGGGAGUGAAGAAGGUUUUCGGAUCGUAAAGCUCUGUUGUUAAGGAAGCGGUACUUAACCAGAAAGGGACGGCUAACUACGUGCCAGCAGCCGCGGUAAUUC